This 468-nucleotide ribosomal RNA is filed under the name uncultured bacterium. RNAcentral's name for it is "partial 16S ribosomal RNA". It matches the Rfam family "Bacterial small subunit ribosomal RNA", at positions 28 to 507 of the family's 1533-position model. The record is from RNAcentral.
GACGAACGCUGGCGGCGUGCUUAACACAUGCCAGUCGAACGGAAAGGCCCUGCUUUUGUGGGGUGCUCGAGUGGCGAACGGGUGAGUAACACGUGAGUAACCUGCCCUUGACUUUGGGAUAACUUCAGGAAACUGGGGCUAAUACCGGAUAGGAGCUCCUGCUGCAUGGUGGGGGUUGGAAAGUUUCGGCGGUUGGGGAUGGACUCGCGGCUUAUCAGCUUGUUGGUGGGGGAGUGGCUUACCAAGGCUUUGACGGGUGGCCGGCCUGAGAGGGUGACCGGCCACAUUGGGACUGGGAUACGGCCCAGACUCCUACGGGAGGCAGCAGUGGGGAAUAUUGCACAAUGGGCGGAAGCCUGAUGCAGCAACGCCGCGUGCGGGAUGACGGCCUUCGGGUUGUAAACCGCUUUCGCCUGUGACGAAGCGUGAGUGACGGUAAUGGGUAAAGAAGCACCGGCUAACUACGUG